RNAcentral lists this ribosomal RNA (93 nucleotides) under Janthinobacterium lividum. RNAcentral's name for it is "partial 16S ribosomal RNA". It matches the Rfam family "Bacterial small subunit ribosomal RNA", at positions 1446 to 1533 of the family's 1533-position model. Lineage: Bacteria; Pseudomonadati; Pseudomonadota; Betaproteobacteria; Burkholderiales; Oxalobacteraceae. The record is from RNAcentral.
GAGGGCGCUUACCACGGUAGGAUUCGUGACUGGGGUGAAGUCGUAACAAGGUAGCCGUAUCGGAAGGUGCGGCUGGAUCACCUCCUUUCUAGA